This 2979-nucleotide ribosomal RNA is filed under the name Pseudobdellovibrionaceae bacterium. Its description in RNAcentral is "Bdellovibrionaceae bacterium (sponge metagenome) 23S ribosomal RNA". It matches the Rfam family "Bacterial large subunit ribosomal RNA". The record is from RNAcentral. Lineage: Bacteria; Pseudomonadati; Bdellovibrionota; Bdellovibrionia; Bdellovibrionales; Pseudobdellovibrionaceae.
AUAAAGUUACUAAGGGCUUAGGGCGGAUGCCUUGGCACUAGAAAGCGAUGAAGGACGUGGUAAGCUGCGAUAAGCUUCGGAUAGUGGCACACACACAUUUUAAUCCGGAGAUUUCCGAAUGGGAAAACCCAUCAUUAACAUGAUAUCUUAAAGUGAAUACAUAACUUUAAGAGGCGAACGGGGAGAAGUGAAACAUCUCAGUACCCCCAGGAACAGAAAUCAAAAGAGAUUCCCCUAGUAGCGGCGAGCGAACGGGGAACAGUCCAAACUUAGUAUAUGUCAAGAUUCUGGUCGUUGUAUAUUAAGGGUUGUGGGACUUUUAGAAGUGUCCAGAAACACUUCACAGAGUUACAAAAUUUUAUUUUAGCAGAAGGGUCUGGAAAGACCUGCCAAAGAGAGUGAUAGCCUCGUAAGCGAAAAAAUAAAAUCUCUGAAGAGUAUCCCAAGUACCAUCGAACACGAGAAAUUCGUUGGGAAUCUGGGCGGACCACCGUCUAAGACUAAAUAUGUUCUAGUGACCGAUAGUGAACAAGUACCGUGAGGGAAAGGUGAAAAGAACCCCGAAAGGGGAGUGAAAUAGAACCUGAAACCCUAAGCCUAUAAGCUGUGGUAGCACUAUUUUAUAAGUGUAACCGCGUACCUUUUGCAUAAUGAGUCAGCGAGUUAUUUUCGUAGGCAAGAUUAAGCCGUUAGGUGUAGUCGUAGCGAAAGCGAGUCUGAAUAGGGCGUUAGUCUGCGGGAAUAGACCCGAAACCUGGUGAUCUAACCAUGAACAGGGUGAAGCUGAAGUAACAUUCAGUGGAGGCCCGAACCAGUAAAUGGUGAAAUAUUUUUGGAUGAUUUGUGGUUAGGGGUGAAAGGCCAAUCAAACUAGGUGAUAGCUGGUUCUCCUCGAAAUAUAUUUAGGUAUAGCCUUGAUUUUUUAUCCCGGAGGUAGAGCACUAAUUGGGCUAGGGGUCUUACCAGAUUACCAAACCCAGAUAAACUCCGAAUGCCGGUGAUAACUAGAUCAGGAGACAGUCAUGGGGUGAUAAGGUCCUAUGACAAAAGGGAAAGAGCCCAGAUCGUCAGCUAAGGUCCCCAAGUGUAAACUAAGUGGAAAACGUGGUGGAGUUACUCAGACAACUAGGAGGUUGGCUUAGAAGCAGCAAUCCUUUAAAGAAAGCGUAAUAGCUCACUAGUCUAGUGAUUCUGCGCGGAAGAUUCAACGGGGCUUAAGUUUACCACCGAAGCUACGGGUGCAACAUUUUUGUUGUGCGGUAGAGGAGCGUUCUAGUAUAGGCUGAAGGUUGACCGUGAGGACAGCUGGACGAACUAGAAGUGAUCAUGCUGACAUAAGUAGCGUAUAAAGCUAGGUGAAAAACCUAGCCGCCGAAAACUCAAGGAUUCCUGGGCUAGGAUAAUCCUCCCAGGGUUAGUCAGGACCUAAGGCGAGGCCUACGGGCGUAGUCGAUGGAUAAAAGGUUAAUAUUCCUUUACUAAUUUUAGCGUUAGGCAUAGGAGGGACGGACUAAGAUAGACCAGCCUGUUAUUGGAUUCAGGUGUAAGCGUGCAAGAGGUAGUAUAGGCAAAUCCGUACUACAUUACUCCUAGGCGUGAAUGCGAGAAGACUUUUGUCUUCAUAAGUGGUUGAAACUAUGGUUCCUAGAAAAGCUUCGAUGUUUGUUAAAAUUACCUGUACCGUAAACCGACUCAGGUGAGUGAGAUGAGUAUUCUCAGGCGAUUGGGUUAAUACUGGUUAAGGAACUCGGCAACUUGGCACCGUAACUUCGGAAGGAGGUGUGCCUUCUAGGGUGUAGUCUUUUACAGGCGAAGCCUUGGAAGGUCGCAGUGACCAGGGAGUAGCGACUGUUUAUCAAAAACACAGGGCUGUGCAAAGUCACAAGACGACGUAUACAGCCUGACGCCUGCCCGGUGCCGGAAGGUUAAGAGGAGGAGUUAGCUUCGGCGAAGCUUUGAAUUGAAGCCCCGGUAAACGGCGGCCGUAACUAUAACGGUCCUAAGGUAGCGAAAUUCCUUGUCGGGUAAGUUCCGACCUGCACGAAUGGCGUAACGACUUCUCCGGUGUCUCAACCAGAUGCCCAGCGAACUUGAAUUCUCGGUGAAAAUGCCGAGUACCCGCGGAAGGACGGAAAGACCCCGUGAACCUUUACUCUAGCUUGACAGUGAAUUUAGGAUCAAUAUGUGUAGGAUAGGUGGGAGACUUUGAAGCAGAAACGCUAGUUUUUGUGGAGUCACCCUUGAAAUACCACCCUUAUUGUUCUUGAAUUCUAACCUGCACCCAUUAUCUGGGUGAGGGACACUGUCUGGUGGGGAGUUUGACUGGGGUGGUCGCCUCCUAAAGAGUAACGGAGGCGUACAAAGGUUCCCUCAGCCCGAUUGGAAACCGGGCAUUGAGCAUAUUGGUAUAAGGGAGCUUGACUGCAAGACCUACAAGUCGAGCAGGUGCGAAAGCAGGUCAAAGUGAUCCGGUGGUCCCGAGUGGAAGGGCCAUCGCUCAACGGAUAAAAGGUACUCCGGGGAUAACAGGCUGAUACCGCCCAAGAGUUCAUAUCGACGGCGGUGUUUGGCACCUCGAUGUCGGCUCAUCUCAUCCUGGGGCUGAAGCAGGUCCCAAGGGUUUGGCUGUUCGCCAAUUAAAGAGGUACGCGAGCUGGGUUCAGAACGUCGUGAGACAGUUUGGUCCAGAUCCUCCGUGGGCGCAGGAAAAUUGAAUGGUGCUGACCUUAGUACGAGAGGACCGGGUUGGACGAACCUCUGGUGUUCCUGUUGUCAUGCCAAUGGCAUUGCAGGGUAGCUAUGUUCGGAUUGGAUAACCGCUGAAAGCAUCUAAGUGGGAAGCCAGCCAUGAGAUAAAUUUUCCCUGGGGCUUUAUGCCCCCUAAAGACUCCUUCGAGACUAGGAGGUUGAUAGGCAGAAGGUGUACGCAGAGUAAUCUGUUUAGCCGAUCUGUACUAAUUGGUCGUGAGACUUUAUUUU